GUGGUGAGCUGCCGAAUUUGGUUUUCUUCGAUGAGAAAACAAGCAUUCGUUGUCCAGCAGUUUGUAAACAAACAAAAUGAUCGUGUUUACUUGCCAAAGAGGUCAGCUGAAAAUGUGCACCUUCGGUUGGCCACCAGAACUCAAGCGCCGGCCAUGGUGAUGGUGUGGGCCGCCAUAACAGCCGAUGAUC
Molecule: long non-coding RNA, 190 nt
Organism: Musca vetustissima
Lineage: Eukaryota; Metazoa; Arthropoda; Insecta; Diptera; Muscidae
Exons: 2
Source: RefSeq, a predicted model, not a curated record